This 532-nucleotide ribosomal RNA is filed under the name uncultured bacterium. RNAcentral describes it as "partial 16S ribosomal RNA". It matches the Rfam family "Bacterial small subunit ribosomal RNA", at positions 355 to 903 of the family's 1533-position model. The record is from RNAcentral.
UGGGGAAUAUUGCACAAUGGGCGAAAGCCUGAUGCAGCAACGCCGCGUGAGUGAUGAAGGUCUUCGGAUUGUAAAGCUCUGUCUUUUGAGACGAUAAUGACGGUACCAAAGGAGGAAGCCACGGCUAACUACGUGCCAGCAGCCGCGGUAAUACGUAGGUGGCGAGCGUUGUCCGGAUUUACUGGGCGUAAAGGGUGCGUAGGCGGAUGUUUAAGUGAGAUGUGAAAUACCCGGGCUUAACUUGGGUGCUGCAUUUCAAACUGGAUAUCUAGAGUGCAGGAGAGGAGAAUGGAAUUCCUAGUGUAGCGGUGAAAUGCGUAGAGAUUAGGAAGAACACCAGUGGCGAAGGCGAUUCUCUGGACUGUAACUGACGCUGAGGCACGAAAGCGUGGGUAGCAAACAGGAUUAGAUACCCUGGUAGUCCACGCCGUAAACGAUGAGUACUAGGUGUAGGAGGUAUCGACCCCUUCUGUGCCGCAGUAAACACAUUAAGUACUCCGCCUGGGAAGUACGAUCGCAAGAUUAAAACUCU